CUUACGCCGGCAGCCAUCCUUUUCCCGCGUCAGUAACCGCAAGACCUCGGUACGGGGAGGCUGCGCUAAUCUGUGUAUCGAAACUUGCCUAUAAGAAGUGAUUUAUUUUCAGUUAACUGUUGAAGACAAGUGUAGCGAGUGUCGGGGCUUGUGUCGGGAGUUCUGAGCACGGCUGUGUCAAUGGAGAUACCGUGAACACACACAGCAAGAUUUAAGAAGUAUGACAUACAGACAGACAGACAGGUGUGGAAGAAGUGCUGGCAUACUGGAGGUCAAGAGUCACGUGAUGAGUCGUACAGGUCACCAGAGAGGUCAUCCACUCAACCCCACUGCCAGUCCAGAGGCAACACAGUCAUGAAGAUUUGCCUCUGUCUGUCUGUCUGUCUGUCUGUCUGUCUGUCUGUCUGUCUGUCUGUCUGUCUGUCUGUCUGUCUGUCUGUCUGCCUGCCUGCCUGCCUCCCUGCCUGCCUCCCUGCCGGCCAAUUAAUGAUCUGUGUAGUCUGUUAUACUUGUGAAUAUUGUGUGUGUUUCUCUUCCUUUCACUUUUCAUCCUAAAAUCUGCUACUAUUAAUCUAAUCUAAUCUUUCAUUCUUCAUUCCUUCUCUUCCUUCCACUUUUCAUCCUAAAAUCUGCUACUAUUAAUCUAAUCUAAUCUUUCACUCUUCAUUCUUUCUCUUCCUUCCACUUUUCAUCCUAAAAUCUGCUACUAUUAAUCUAAUUUAAUCUUUCAUUCUUCAUUCUCUCUCUUCCUUCCACUUUUCAUCCUCAAAUCUGCUACUAAUAAUCUGGUCUAAUCUUUCAUUCUUCAUUCCUUCUCUUCUUUCCACUUUUCAUCCUCAAAUCUGCUACUAUUAAUCUAAUCUAAUCUUUCAUUCUUCAUUCCUUCUCUUCCUUCCACUUUUCAUCCUAAAAUCUGCUACUAAUAAUCUGGUUUAAUCUUUCAUUCUUCAUUCCUUCUCUUCCUUCCACUUUUCAUCCUAAAAUCUGCUACUGAUAAUCUAAUUUAAUCUUUCAUUCUUCAUUCCUUCUCUUCCUUCCACUUUUCAUCCUAAAAUCUGCUACUGAUAAUCUAAUUUAAUCUUUCAUUCUUCAUUCUCUCUCUUCCUUUCACUUUUCAUCCUAAAAUCUGCUACUGGUAAUCUAAUUUUAUCUUUCAUUCUUCAUUCCUUCUCUUCCUUCCAUUUUUCAUCCUAAAAUCUGCUACUAUUAAUCUAAUCUAAUCUUUCAUUCUUCAUUCUCUCUCUUCCUUUCACUUUUCAUCCUAAAAUCUGCUACUGAUAAUCUAAUUUAAUCUUUCAUUCUUCAUUCUCUCUCUUCCUUUCACUUUUCAUCCUAAAAUCUGCUACUGAUAAUCUAAUCUAAUCUUUCAUUCUUCAUUCUCUCUCUUCCUUCCACUUUUCAUCCUAAAAUCUGCUGCUAAUAAUCUGGUCUAAUCUUUCAUUCUUUUUUCCUUCUCUUCCUUCCACUUUUCAUCCUAAAAUCUGCUACUAAUAAUCUAAUCUAAUCUUUCAUUCUUCAUUCUCUCUCUUCCUUCCACUUUUCAUCCUAAAAUCUGCUACUAUUAAUCUAAUCUAAUCUUUCAUUCUUCAUUCCUUCUCUUCCUUCCACUUUUCAUCCUAAAACCUGCUACUGAUAAUCUAAUCUAAUCUUUCAUUCUUCUUUCCUUCUUACCAGGAUAUAUAGUCAAUCUGUACCAGGACAUGUAGUCAGAAAAAAAAAAACUAAAAACAAAAAAACAGCAGAUGACUUAUAUUAAAUAUUUCUUUCAGAUUUAAGAAGUAUGACGUACAGACAGACAGACAGGUGUGGAAGAAGUGCUGGCAUACUGGAGGUCAAGAGUCACGUGAUGAGUCGUACAGGUCACCAGAGAGGUCAUCCACUCAACCCCACUGCCAGUCCAGAGGCAACACAGUCAUGAAGAUUUGCCCCUGCCUGCCUGCCUGCCUGCCUGCCUGCCUGCCUGCCUCCCUGCCGGCCAAUUAAUGAUCUGUGUAGUCUGUUAUACUUGUGAAUAUUGUGUGUGUGUUUCUCUUCCUUUCACUUUUCAUCCUAAAAUCUGCUACUAUUAAUCUAAUCUAAUCUUUCAUUCUUCAUUCCUUCUCUUCCUUCCACUUUUCAUCCUAAAAUCUGCUACUAUUAAUCUAAUCUAAUCUUUCAUUCUUCAUUCUCUCUCUUCCUUCCACUUUUCAUCCUAAAAUCUGCUACUAUUAAUCUAAUUUAAUCUUUCAUUCUUCAUUCUCUCUCUUCCUUCCACUUUUCAUCCUAAAAUCUGCUACUAAUAAUCUUGUCUAAUCUUUCAUUCUUCAUUCCUUCUCUUCCUUCCACUUUUCAUCCUAAAAUCUGCUAAUAUUAAUCUAAUCUAAUCUUUCAUUCUUCAUUCUCUCUCUUCCUUUCACUUUUCAUCCUAAAAUCUGCUACUGAUAAUCUAAUUUUAUCUUUCAUUCUUCAUUCCUUCUCUUCCUUCCAUUUUUCAUCCUAAAAUCUGCUACUUUUAAUCUAAUCUAAUCUUUCACUCUUCAUUCUUUCUCUUCCUUCCACUUUUCAUCCUAAAAUCUGCUACUAUUAAUCUAAUCUAAUCUUUCAUUCUUCAUUCUCUCUCUUCCUUCCACUUUUCAUCCUAAAAUCUGCUACUAAUAAUCUUGUCUAAUCUUUCAUUCUUCAUUCCUUCUCUUCCUUCCACUUUUCAUCCUAAAAUCUGCUAGUAUUAAUCUAAUCUAAUCUUUCAUUCUUCAUUCUCUCUUCCUUUCACUUUUCAUCCUAAAAUCUGCUACUGAUAAUCUAAUUUAAUCUUUCAUUCUUCAUUCCUUCUCUUCCUUCCAUUUUUCAUCCUAAAAUCUGCUACUAUUAAUCUAAAUAAUUUAAUCUUUCAUUCUUCAUUCCUUCUCUUCCUUCCACUUUUCAUCCUAAAAUCUGCUAGUAUUAAUCUAAUCUAAUCUUUCAUUCUUCAUUCUCUCUUCCUUUCACUUUUCAUCCUAAAAUCUGCUACUGAUAAUCUAAUUUAAUCUUUCAUUCUUCAUUCCUUCUCUUCCUUCCACUUUUCAUCCUAAAAUCUGCUACUAAUAAUCUAAUCUAAUCUUUCAUUCUUCAUUCUCUCUCUUCCUUCCACUUUUCAUCCUAAAAUCUGCUACUAUUAAUCUAAUCUAAUCUUUCAUUCUUCAUUCCUUCUCUUCCUUCCACUUUUCAUCCUAAAAUCUGCUACUAUUAAUCUAAUCUAAUCUUUCAUUCUUCAUUCUCUCUCUUCCUUCCACUUUUCAUCCUAAAAUCUGCUACUAAUAAUCUGGUCUAAUCUUUCAUUCUUUUUUCCUUCUCAUCCUUCCACUUUUCAUCCUAAAAUCUGCUACUGAUAAUCUAAUCUAAUCUUUCAUUCUUCUUUCCUUCUUACCAGGAUAUAUAGUCAGUCUGUACCAGGACAUGUAGUCAGAAAAAAAAAAAAACAAUAAAAACAAAAAAACAGCAGAUGACUUAUAUUAAAUAUUUCUUUCAGAUUUAAGAAGUUUGACAUACAAACAGACAGACAGGUGUGGAAGAAGUGCUGGCAUACUGGAGGUCAAGAGUCACGUGAUGAGUCGUACAGGUCACCAGAGAGGUCAUCCACUCAACCCCACUGCCAGUCCAGAGGCAACACUGUCAUGAAGAUUUGCCUCUGUCUGUCUGUCUCUGUCUGUCUGUCUGUCUGUCUGUCUGUCUGUCUGUCUGUCUGUCUGUCUGUCUGUCUGCCUGUCUGCCUGCCUGCCUCCCUGCCUGCCUCCCUGCCGGCCAAUUAAUGAUCUGUGUAGUCUGUUAUACUUGUGAAUAUUGUGUGUGUGUUUCUCUUCCUUUCACUUUUCAUCCUAAAAUCUGCUACUAUUAAUCUAAUCUAAUCUUUCAUUCUUCAUUCCUUCUCUUCCUUCCACUUUUCAUCCUAAAAUCUGCUACUAUUAAUCUAAUCUAAUCUUUCAUUCUUCAUUCUCUCUCUUCCUUCCACUUUUCAUCCUAAAAUCUGCUACUAUUAAUCUUGUCUAAUCUUUCAUUCUUCAUUCUCUCUUCCUUCCACUUUUCAUCCUAAAAUCUGCUAGUAUUAAUCUAAUCUAAUCUUUCAUUCUUCAUUCUCUCUCUUCCUUUCACUUUUCAUCCUAAAAUCUGCUACUGAUAAUCUAAUUUUAUCUUUCAUUCUUCAUUCCUUCUCUUCCUUCCAUUUUUCAUCCUAAAAUCUGCUACUAAUAAUCUAAUCUAAUCUUUCAUUCUUUCUCUUCCUUCCACUUUUCAUCCUAAAAUCUGCUACUAAUAAUCUAAUCUAAUCUUUCAUUCUUCAUUCCUUCUCUUCCUUUCACUUUUCAUCCUAAAAUCUGCUACUAUUAAUCUAAUCUAAUCUUUCAUUCUUUCUCUUCCCUCCACUUUUCAUCCUAAAAUCUGCUACUGAUAAUCUAAUUUAAUCUUUCAUUUUUCAUUCCUACUCUUCCUUUCACUUUUCAUCCUAAAAUCUGCUACUAAUAAUCUAAUCUAAUCUUUCAUUCUUUCUCUUCCUUCCACUUUUCAUCCUAAAAUCUGCUACUAUUAAUCUAAUCUAAUCUUUCAUUCUUCAUUCUCUCUCUUCCUUCCACUUUUCAUCCUCAAAUCUGCUACUAAUAAUCUGGUCUACUCUUUCAUUCUUCAUUCCUUCUCUUCCUUCCACUUUUCAUCCUAAAAUUGCUACUAUUAAUCUAAUCUAAUCUUUCAUUCUUCAUUCCUUCACUUUUUUCCACUUUUCAUCCUAAAAUCUGCUACUAUUAAUCUAAUUAAUCUUUCAUUCUUCAUUCCUUCUCUUCCUUCCACUUUUCAUCCUAAAAUCUGCUACUAUUAAUCUAAUCUAAUCUUUCAUUCUUCAUUCCUUCACUUUUUUCCACUUUUCAUCCUAAAAUCUGCUACUAUUAAUCUAAUUAAUCUUUCAUUCUUCAUUCCUUCUCUUCCUUCCACUUUUCAUCCUAAAAUUUGCUACUAUUAAUGUAAUCUAAUCUUUCAUUCUUCAUUCCUUCUUUUCCUUCCACUUUUGAUCCUAAAAUCUGCUACUGAUAAUCUAAUCUAAUCUUUCAUUCUUCAUUCCUUCUCUUCCUUCCACUUUUCAUCCUAAAAUCUGCUACUGAUAAUCUAAUCUAAUCUUUCAUUCUUCAUUCCUUCUCUUCCUUCCACUUUUCAUCCUAAAAUCUGCUACUGAUAAUCUAAUCUAAUCUUUCAUUCUUCAUUCCUUCUCUUCCUUUCACUUUUCAUCCUAAAAUCUGCUACUAAUAAUCUAAUCUAAUCUUUCAUUCUUCAUUCUCUCUCUUCCUUCCACUUUUCAUCCUAAAAUCUGCUACUAAUAAUCUAAUCUAAUCUUUCAUUCUUUUUUCCUUCUCUUCCUUCCACUUUUCAUCCUAAAACCUGCUACUGAUAAUCUAAUCUAAUCUUUCAUUCUUCUUUCCUUCUUACCAGGAUAUAUAGUCAGUCUGUACCAGGACAUGUAGUCAGAAAAAAAAAAAACAAUAAAAACAAAAAAACAGCAGAUGACUUAUAUUAAAUAUUUCUUUCAGAUUUAAGAAGUUUGACAUACAGACAGACAGACAGGUGUGGAAGAAGUGCUGGCAUACUGGAGGUCAAGAGUCACGUGAUGAGUCGUACAGGUCACCAGAGAGGUCAUCCACUCAACCCCACUGCCAGUCCAGAGGCAACACAGUCAUGAAGAUUUGCCUCUGUCUGUCUGUCUGUCUGUCUAUCUGCCUGCCUGCCUCCCUGCCGGCCAAUUAAUGAUCUGUGUAGUCUGUUAUACUUGUGAAUAUUGUGUGUGUGUUUCUCUUCCUUUCACUUUUCAUCCUAAAAUCUGCUACUAUUAAUCUAAUCUAAUCUUUCAUUCUUCAUUCCUUCUCUUGCCUCCACUUUUCAUCCUAAAAUCUGCUACUAUUAAUCUAAUCUAAUCUUUCACUCUUCAUUCUUUCUCUUCCUUCCACUUUUCAUCCUAAAAUCUGCUACUAUUAAUCUUGUCUAAUCUUUCAUUCUUCAUUCUCUCUUCCUUCCACUUUUCAUCCUAAAAUCUGCUACUGAUAAUCUAAUUUAAUCUUUCAUUUUUCAUUCCUUCUCUUCCUUUCACUUUUCAUCCUAAAAUCUGCUACUAAUAAUCUAAUCUAAUCUUUCAUUCUUUCUCUUCCUUCCACUUUUCAUCCUAAAAUCUGCUACUAAUAAUCUAAUCUAAUCUUUCAUUCUUCAUUCCUUCUCUUCCUUUCACUUUUCAUCCUAAAAUCUGCUACUAUUAAUCUAAUCUAAUCUUUCAUUCUUCAUUCUUUCUCUUCCCUCCACUUUUCAUCCUAAAAUCUGCUACUGAUAAUCUAAUUUAAUCUUUCAUUUUUCAUUCCUACUCUUCCUUUCACUUUUCAUCCUAAAAUAUGCUACUAAUAAUGUAAUCUAAUCUUUCAUUCUUUCUCUUCCUUCCACUUUUCAUCCUAAAAUCUGCUACUAUUAAUCUAAUCUAAUCUUUCAUUCUUCAUUCUCUCUCUUCCUUCCACUUUUCAUCCUCAAAUCUGCUACUAAUAAUCUGGUCUAAUCUUUCAUUCUUCAUUCCUUCUCUUCUUUCCACUUUUCAUCCUCAAAUCUGCUACUAAUAAUCUGGUCUACUCUUUCAUUCUUCAUUCCUUCUCUUCCUUCCACUUUUCAUCCUAAAAUCUGCUACUAAUAAUCUGGUUUAAUCUUUCAUUCUUCAUUCCUUCUCUUCCUUCCACUUUUCAUCCUAAAAUCUGCUACUAAUAAUCUGGUUUAAUCUUUCAUUCUUCAUUCCUUCUCUUCCUUCCACUUUUCAUCCUAAAAUCUGCUACUGAUAAUCUGGUUUAAUCUUUCAUUCUUCAUUCCUUCUCUUUCUUUCACUUUUUAUCCUAAAAUCUGCUACUGAUAAUCUAAUUUAAUCUUUCAUUCUUCAUUCCUUCUCUUUCUUUCACUUUUUAUCCUAAAAUCUGCUACUGAUAAUCUAAUCUAAUCUUUCAUUCUUCAUUCUCUCUCUUCCUUUCACUUUUCAUCCUAAAAUCUGCUACUAAUAAUCUAAUCUAAUCUUUCAUUCUUCAUUCCUUCUCUUCCUUCCACUUUUCAUCCUAAAAUCUGCUACUAUUAAUCUAAUCUAAUCUUUCAUUCUUCAUUCCUUCACUUUUUUCCACUUUUCAUCCUAAAAUCUGCUACUAUUAAUCUAAUUAAUCUUUCAUUCUUCAUUCCUUCUCUUCCUUCCACUUUUCAUCCUAAAAUUUGCAACUAUUAAUGUAAUCUAAUCUUUCAUUCUUCAUUCCUUCUUUUCCUUCCACUUUUGAUCCUAAAAUCUGCUACUGAUAAUCUAAUCUAAUCUUUCAUUCUUCAUUCCUUCACUUUUUUCCACUUUUCAUCCUAAAAUCUGCUACUAUUAAUCUAAUUAAUCUUUCAUUCUUCAUUCCUUCUCUUCCUUCCACUUUUCAUCCUAAAAUUUGCAACUAUUAAUGUAAUCUAAUCUUUCAUUCUUCAUUCCUUCUUUUCCUUCCACUUUUGAUCCUAAAAUCUGCUACUGAUAAUCUAAUCUAAUCUUUCAUUCUUCAUUCCUUCUCUUCCUUUCACUUUUUAUCCUAAAAUAUGCUACUGAUAAUCUAAUCUAAUCUUUCAUUCAUCAUUCCUUCUCUUCCUUCCACUUUUCAUCCUAAAAUCUGCUACUAAUAAUCUAAUCUAAUCUUUCAUUCUUCAUUCCUUCUCUUCCUUCCACUUUUCAUCCUAAAAUCUGCUACUAUUAAUCUAAUCUAAUCUUUCAUUCUUCAUUCCUUCACUUUUUUCCACUUUUCAUCCUAAAAUCUGCUACUAUUAAUCUAAUUAAUCUUUCAUUCUUCAUUCCUUCUCUUCCUUCCACUUUUCAUCCUAAAAUUUGCAACUAUUAAUGUAAUCUAAUCUUUCAUUCUUCAUUCCUUCUUUUCCUUCCACUUUUGAUCCUAAAAUCUGCUACUGAUAAUCUAAUCUAAUCUUUCAUUCUUCAUUCCUUCUCUUCCUUUCACUUUUUAUCCUAAAAUCUGCUACUGAUAAUCUAAUCUAAUCUUUCAUUCUUCAUUCCUUCUCUUCCUUUCACUUUUUAUCCUAAAAUCUGCUACUGAUAAUCUAAUCUAAUCUUUCAUUCUUCAUUCCUUCUCUUCCUUCCACUUUUCAUCCUAAAAUCUGCUACUGAUAAUCUAAUCUAAUCUUUCAUUCUUCAUUCCUUCUCUUCCUUCCACUUUUCAUCCUAAAAUCUGCUACUAUUAAUCUAAUCUAAUCUUUCAUUCUUCAUUCUCUCUUCCUUUCACUUUUCAUCCUAAAAUCUGCUACUGAUAAUCUAAUUUAAGCUUUCAUUCUUCAUUCUCUCUCUUCCUUUCACUUUUCAUCCUAAAAUCUGCUACUGAUAAUCUAAUCUAAUCUUUCAUUCUUCAUUCUCUCUCUUCCUUCCACUUUUCAUCCUAAAAUCUGCUGCUAAUAAUCUGGUCUAAUCUUUCAUUCUUUUUUCCUUCUCUUCCUUCCACUUUUCAUCCUAAAAUCUGCUACUAAUAAUCUAAUCUAAUCUUUCAUUCUUCAUUCCUUCUCUUCCUUUCACUUUUUAUCCUAAAAUCUGCUACUAAUAAUCUAAUCUAAUCUUUCAUUCUUCAUUCCUUCUCUUCCUUCCACUUUUCAUCCUAAAAUCUGCUACUAUUAAUCUAAUCUAAUCUUUCAUUCUUCAUUCCUUCACUUUUUUCCACUUUUCAUCCUAAAAUCUGCUACUAUUAAUCUAAUUAAUCUUUCAUUCUUCAUUCCUUCUCUUCCUUCCACUUUUCAUCCUAAAAUUUGCAACUAUUAAUGUAAUCUAAUCUUUCAUUCUUCAUUCCUUCUUUUCCUUCCACUUUUGAUCCUAAAAUCUGCUACUGAUAAUCUAAUCUAAUCUUUCAUUCUUCAUUCCUUCUCUUCCUUUCACUUUUUAUCCUAAAAUCUGCUACUGAUAAUCUAAUCUAAUCUUUCAUUCUUCAUUCCUUCUCUUCCUUUCACUUUUUAUCCUAAAAUCUGCUACUGAUAAUCUAAUCUAAUCUUUCAUUCUUCAUUCCUUCUCUUCCUUCCACUUUUCAUCCUAAAAUCUGCUACUGAUAAUCUAAUCUAAUCUUUCAUUCUUCAUUCCUUCUCUUCCUUCCACUUUUCAUCCUAAAAUCUGCUACUAUUAAUCUAAUCUAAUCUUUCAUUCUUCAUUCUCUCUUCCUUUCACUUUUCAUCCUAAAAUCUGCUACUGAUAAUCUAAUUUAAGCUUUCAUUCUUCAUUCUCUCUCUUCCUUUCACUUUUCAUCCUAAAAUCUGCUACUGAUAAUCUAAUCUAAUCUUUCAUUCUUCAUUCUCUCUCUUCCUUCCACUUUUCAUCCUAAAAUCUGCUGCUAAUAAUCUGGUCUAAUCUUUCAUUCUUUUUUCCUUCUCUUCCUUCCACUUUUCAUCCUAAAAUCUGCUACUAAUAAUCUAAUCUAAUCUUUCAUUCUUCAUUCCUUCUCUUCCUUUCACUUUUUAUCCUAAAAUCUGCUACUGAUAAUCUAAUCUAAUCUUUCAUUCUAGUCAGUCUGUACCAGGACAUGUAGUCAGAAAAAAAUAAAUAAAAACAAAAAACAUAGCAGAUGACUUUGCAUUAAAUAUUUCUUUCAGAUUUAAGAAGUAUGACAUACAGACAGACAGACAGGUGUGGAAGAAGUGCUGGCAUACUGGAGGUCAAGAGUCACGUGAUGAGUCGUACAGGUCACCAGAGAGGUCAUCCACUCAACCCCACUGCCAGUCCAGAGGCAACACUGUCAUGAAGAUUUGCCUCUGUCUGUGUCUGUCUGCCUGCCUGCCUGCCUGCCUGCCUGCCUGCCUGCCUGCCUGCCUCCCUGCCGGCCAAUUAAUGAUCUGUGUAGUCUGUUAUACUUGUGAAUAUUGUGUGUGUGUGUGUGUGUGUGUGUGUUGUUACAGCAAUAUUGUUCUGCAUAUUAUUGAUUGUACUGCACAUGUAUGGGCCGGCCAGACUUGAUGUACUGUGACAGCCAAAAUUUUGAUAUAUACUGCUUGAUAAGUGAAAAGAAAUAAAAUAGAUAAGUAAAAAUUUUGAGCCAAACUAAUGGUCUUUCUCUGGUCUUUUUCAGAGGUGCGUACGUCUGCAAGUCAGCCCAACAAACGUCUUGUGUCUUGCCUUAUUCUGAUAAUAGGUUCAGUUAGGUUAUUUAGAGUGUGGGGGUCUCUUUUCCUUACUAACAAAAUUAACAUAACCUGUCCCUUCAUUCUCGUCAAGCUGUCCGUGGGAGAUGCCCCGAGACUCUCAGGUGUUUCUCAAGCAUCCACUGCCAGUGUGGUCACCUUGAGUAGUCAGACGGGGCUCACUCAACUGUUGCAGUGUUCGUGUUGCAGUGUUGCAGACUUUCACCCAAACAAGGGGAGUAUUGCGUAUUUAUUGCAUUGAUUUUGUAUAUAUAUUGCUUGAUGGGAGGUGGAUGGUUGGCGGGUGGGUGGGGGGAUCUGAGGGUACCUAUGUAGGGUGUGUGUGUGUGUGUGUGUGUGUCUGUCUGUCUGUCUGUCCGUUUUUUUUUUUUUUUGUUUGUGUGUGUGUGUAUUUUUUUUUUAUAUAUGUGUGUGUGUGUGUGUGUGUGUCUGUCUGUGUUUUUUUGUUGUUUGUGUGUGCGUGUGUGUGUGUGUGAGUGUAUUUUAUAUGUGUGUGUGUGUGUGUGUAGGUAUUAGGCCAGAAUCUUAGAAUAUUUGACUUAGGUUAAUAGAAGAGUGGUAGGUUAAUAGAAGAGUGGUAAGUUGAUGUUAUUUAUGAAAGGGUUAAGUAAGGCAUAGAGAGAGACAGAGAGCUACUGAUAGGAAUAGGAUGACAGGGAGUGUGAAUGGUUAGCUCAGAUUAUAUGGAGUGCUUCAUUCCAUAUAAUCAGAGCUUGUGUGGCAUGCUGCACUGUUGCAUACAAGUAUCUUCUUAUUUCUGUAGUGGUGGUGGUGCUGGUGGUAGUGGUAGUGGUGGUGGUGGUGGUGGCACGUUAUGAAUGAUAUUUUUUUGUUUUUUUUUUUGGUUCGGGGGUAUAUAGUGUUUAUAGAUAUAUAUAUAUAUUUUUUUUUUACCCAGAUCUUUUGGUAAGAGGUCUGGGUUUAUGUAUGGAUGUAUGUACGUGUCUGGCCAGUAUUUGGUAAGAUGCUGGCUGGAUUGUGUGUCCAUGCGUGUGUGUGUGCGUGUGUGUGUAUGUAUGUAUGUACGUGUCUGGCCAGUAUUUGGUAAGAUGCUGGCUGGAUUGUGUGUCCAUGCGUGUGUGUGUGUGUGUGUGCGUGUGUGUGUAUGUAUGUAUGUAUGUAUGUAUGUACGUGUCUGGCCAGUAUUUUGGUAAGAUACUGGCUGGAUUGUGUGUGUGUGUGUGUGUGUGUGUGUGUGCGCAAUUUUCUUUUAGGUUAACUAAUUAGUUAAAUAAAUAAAUAAAUGAGAAAAUAAAUAAAUAAAUAAAUGAGAAAAUAGGUAAAAGUAAUAAUAAGAAAAUUUGAAAGUAAAUAAAUAUAUAAAUAAAAAUAUAGGAAUAUUUAUGAGGUGGGGGAGCAGAAGGGGGGGUGGGUAAGCAAGAUUAGGUGUGCUGGUAGAAGUAGGGGGUGAAGGGGCGGGUGAGGAAGCUGUAUGGAUGACCACAAUAGGGGGGGGGGUUGGGGCAGGGGUAGGAUGUGGGUGAUAUAUAAUUUGCUAAUAUUUGAACCCUUUACAUACCGACAUGCAUACUGACACAUUUCUCUCAGACAGAUAAGCCUGGCUGGUGAGGGAGAGAGGGAGUGGGGGUCUGUUUCAUUAUAAUGUGGAUGAGGGGACAAGAGAGCCAGUGUUCCAAGUACCACCACCAUCACCACUGCCACCACCACCACCACCAUCAGGAGCACAGAUUCACUGAAGUCUCUACCAAGAUUUCUUUGAGUUUUUUGAUAAAUUUAACUUCCAGGAGAGAGAGAGACAGAGAUGAUUGUUACUGGCAGUGUGUGAAGCCUGCCCACUGUCUUUGUAUAUACAGAAGGUGGAAUUUGAGUCGGCCAAGCCUCAGAAAUGCAGGAAGGAUUAGCGGUGAUGACUGCAGGCUGCCAUCGACCCGCAGGUGUGAUGGUGCCCGACCAGCUGGUACACAUCAGUGAGAUGGUGGUGGUGCUGGAAAACAGCUGGUUUGCCAAGGGCAGCGCCAGGCAGGCCGCCCGCACACACAGUCACCAGAAGGAUCACAGCACAUCUCCCGUCAGGUCUUGGGAGCACCGGGUGUUGUUCGGCAGGAAGGAGGCCAGGUUGUUAGGGCACGGCCUCACCCCACUGUCGCACACACCCACAGGCAUGAGGGGUGCCAGCCAGCAGGCCACGUCCCCAACACAGCUCCCACCUGCAUCCUGACCUCAUUCAGCAUCAACACCAGCCACACAGAAAAGUGAUGCUCCUGCAACAGCUGACGUUUACCUUUGCCAGUCACCUCGUCCAUGCUGAACUGCUCCACCAGCACCUUUGAAGCAGCUGUCCUACAUCCUCCUGGAAGCAACAGCAUACAGUCAUCACAGGAAUCAAAUGCAGCAUCAGUAUGGCUCACCAAACACUUCCCCUCACACUGGUGGUGUUGACCUGCCUUGUGAACACCUGAUCUCCUGUGCUCCUGUCCUUCACAGCUCUCCAGGUGACAUCAGCUGAGUGCAGCUGUCGGUGACUGCAGGAAUGGACCUCAGAUGGUGGAUACAGCAUUACCAAGUCAAGAAGGAGACACUGUGAUGUGGCUGCAGGUGGAUAGAUACCAGGAUAUGUGACCACCACCACCACCACCACCACCAUUGGAGAUGCCCCUCUGUAGUUGCACAUUACGGCCCUGUUGUGUACCCUGGUGGCCUUCAUAGUUGACCGCUGAGUGCAGCUGUCGGUGACUGCAGGAAUGGACCUCAGAUGGUGGACACAGCAUUACCAAGUCAAGAAGUUGUCCAGUAUUUUAUCUCUGCUCUCAAACAAGCAAUGACCAGUGGUGGUGUUGUUCAUGUCUGGCUUGUGUGUGUGUGUGUGUGUGUGUGUGUGUGUGUGUGUGUGUGUGUGAGUUUGUUCACCCAUUAUGAUUUGAAGAGAUUGUGUUUGUAUUUUUAUUGUGGUACUCCGUGAUUAUACUUUGAAAUUA
Scylla paramamosain (green mud crab) is the source of this 13082-nucleotide RNA transcript. RefSeq lists it as uncharacterized. Lineage: Eukaryota; Metazoa; Arthropoda; Malacostraca; Decapoda; Portunidae. The transcript has 12 exons. The record is from RefSeq and is a predicted model, not a curated record.